GAUGAACGCUGGCGGCGUGCCUAAUACAUGCAAGUCGAGCGAACAGAUAAGGAGCUUGCUCCUUUGACGUUAGCGGCGGACGGGUGAGUAACACGUGGGUAACCUACCUAUAAGACUGGGAUAACUUCGGGAAACCGGAGCUAACACCGGAUAACAUUUGGAACCGCAUGGUUCUAAAGAGAAAGAUGGUUUUGCUAUCACUUAUAGAGGGACCCGCGCCGUAUUAGCUAGUUGGUAAGGUAACGGCCUACCAAGGCGACGAUACGUAGCCGACCUGAGAGGGUGAUCGGCCACACUGGAACUGAGACACGGCCCAGACUCCUACGGGAGGCAGCAGUGGGGAAUCUUGGGCAAUGGGCGAAAGCCUGACGGAGCAACGCCGCGUGAGUGAUGAAGGCUUUCGGCUCGUAAAACUCUGUUAGUAGGGAAGAAAAAAAGUGUAAGUAACUGUGCACGUCUUGACGGUACCUGAUCAGAAAGCCACGGCUAACUACGUG
Molecule: ribosomal RNA, 497 nt
Filed under: uncultured bacterium
Lineage: Bacteria
Description: partial 16S ribosomal RNA
Rfam family: Bacterial small subunit ribosomal RNA
Source: RNAcentral